UAACACGUGGAUAACCUACCUAUAAGACUGGGAUAACUUCGGGAAACCGGAGCUAAUACCGGAUAAUAUUAUGAACCGCAUGGUUCAAAAGUGAAAGACGGUCUUGCUGUCACUUAUAGAUGGAUCCGCGCUGCAUUAGCUAGUUGGUAAGGUAACGGCUUACCAAGGCAACGAUGCAUAGCCGACCUGAGAGGGUGAUCGGCCACACUGGAACUGAGACACGGUCCAG
RNAcentral lists this ribosomal RNA (229 nucleotides) under uncultured Staphylococcus sp. RNAcentral's name for it is "partial 16S ribosomal RNA". It matches the Rfam family "Bacterial small subunit ribosomal RNA", at positions 111 to 334 of the family's 1533-position model. The record is from RNAcentral. Lineage: Bacteria; Bacillati; Bacillota; Bacilli; Caryophanales; Staphylococcaceae.